This 497-nucleotide ribosomal RNA is filed under the name uncultured bacterium. Its description in RNAcentral is "partial 16S ribosomal RNA". It matches the Rfam family "Bacterial small subunit ribosomal RNA", at positions 28 to 507 of the family's 1533-position model. The record is from RNAcentral.
GAUGAACGCUGGCGGCGUGCCUAAUACAUGCCAGUCGAGCGAACAGACGAGGAGCUUGCUCCUCUGACGUUAGCGGCGGACGGGUGAGUAACACGUGGAUAACCUACCUAUAAGACUGGGAUCACUUCGGGAAACCGGAGCUAAUACCGGAUAAUAUCUUGAACCGCAUGGUUCAAUAGUGAAAGACGGUUUUGCUGUCACUUAUAGAUGGAUCCGCGCCGCAUUAGCUAGUUGGUAAGGUAACGGCUUACCAAGGCAACGAUGCGUAGCCGAACUGAGAGGGUGAUCGGCCACACUGGAACUGAGACACGGUCCAGACUCCUACGGGAGGCAGCAGUAGGGAAUCUUCCGCAAUGGGCGAAAGCCCGACGGAGCAACGCCGCGUGAGUGAUGAAGGUCUUCGGAUCGUAAAACUCUGUUAUUAGGGAAGAACAAAUGUGUAAGUAACUAUGCACGUCUUGACGGUACCUAAUCAGAAAGCCACGGCUAACUACGUG